This 416-nucleotide ribosomal RNA is filed under the name uncultured marine group I thaumarchaeote. Its description in RNAcentral is "bacterial SSU rRNA". It matches the Rfam family "Archaeal small subunit ribosomal RNA", at positions 448 to 864 of the family's 1478-position model. The record is from RNAcentral. Lineage: Archaea; Thermoproteati; Nitrososphaerota.
AGUUCUGGUGUCAGCCGCCGCGGUAAAACCAGCACCUCAAGUGGUCAGGAGGAUUAUUGGGCCUAAAGCAUCCGUAGCCGGCUCUGUAAGUUUUCGGUUAAAUCCAUGUGCUCAACGCAUGGGCUGUCGAAAAUACUGCAUAGCUAGGGAGUGGGAGAGGUAGACGGUACUCGGUAGGAAGGGGUAAAAUCCUUUGAUCUAUCGAUGACCACCUGUGGCGAAGGCGGUCUACCAGAACACGUUCGACGGUGAGGGAUGAAAGCUGGGGGAGCAAACCGGAUUAGAUACCCGGGUAGUCCCAGCUGUAAACGAUGCAGACUCGAUGAUGCAUUGGCAUAUAGCCAGUGCAGUGUCGCAGGGAAGCCGUUAAGUCUGCCGCCUGGGAAGUACGUACGCAAGUAUGAAACUUAAAGGAA